RNAcentral lists this ribosomal RNA (393 nucleotides) under uncultured bacterium. RNAcentral's name for it is "partial 16S ribosomal RNA". It matches the Rfam family "Bacterial small subunit ribosomal RNA", at positions 523 to 918 of the family's 1533-position model. The record is from RNAcentral.
AUACGGAGGAUCCGAGCGUUAUCCGGAUUUAUUGGGUUUAAAGGGAGCGUAGGCGGACGAUUAAGUCAGCUGUGAAAGUUUGCGGCUUAACCGUAAAAUUGCAGUUGAUACUGUCAGUCUUGAGUGUGCAUGAGGUGGGCGGAAUUUGUGGUGUAGCGGUGAAAUGCUUAGAUAUCACGAGGAACUCCAAUUGCGAAGGCAGCUCACUGGGGCAUAACUGACGCUGAUGCACGAAGGUGUGGGUAUCAAACAGGAUUAGAUACCCUGGUAGUCCACACAGUAAACUAUGAAUACUCGCUGUUUGCGAUAUACAGUAAGCGGCCAAGCGAAAGCAUUAAGUAUUCCACCUGGGGAGUACGCCGGCAACGGUGAAACUCAAAGGAAUUGACGGGG